UGUGAGCAUGCCUGUCGGGACC
This 22-nucleotide non-coding RNA is filed under the name Arabidopsis thaliana (thale cress). Lineage: Eukaryota; Viridiplantae; Streptophyta; Magnoliopsida; Brassicales; Brassicaceae. The record is from RNAcentral.